Non-coding RNA from Paramuricea clavata, 882 nucleotides. NCBI's taxonomy places the organism in Eukaryota, Metazoa, Cnidaria, Anthozoa, Malacalcyonacea, Plexauridae. The record is from the annotation of a GenBank genome assembly.
GGAAAAGAUUUAGACCUUGUUAUGGGAAAAUUGGAUGCUGACAAGUAUUUUUCCCAAGAUCACAUUUUUGGCAAUGACAGCAACUACCACAUUGCAGAUGAAAAAGGAUAUUACAACCAGUCUCGGAUUGAUCAAUCCAAAACAUAUUGAAAUAAGCCCUGAUCAUCCCAAUAUCUUCUUCAGCUCUUUGCCAAGACCUAAUGGAGGGGAUGAUAAGCUUCAAGUGGACACUUCAACCUAUAUUAACUCCUCUGAUUGCAGAAUUAAAAGUAAAACAGUUCAAUUUCCCUCUGACAUUAGUUUAUGGCAACUUGCAAGUUAUUGGAGAAUGUUUUUUGUUUGCAAGCAAUAUGAUGGGGCCUUUGCAAUAUGAACCAGUACGAUCUAGCAAACAUUCAGUUAACAGACUAUUCACACAGUUACAUGUGCAAUAUCCAGAACAUGAACAAGAAAGGAUUAUACUGUACAGGAUCUUGUAAGUGGUCAGUCCAAGUUAAGGCUACUAUUUGUCACUGUGGCUUUAGGGAUUGGUGUUGACGUGCAUGACAUCCGUAGGAUUAUUCAUAUUGGACUCCCUUAUAUAAUUGAGGAGUAUUUUCAAGAAGCUGGUAGAUGUGGAUGAGAUGGACUUCCAGCAUCUUCCACAAUAUACUACAACUCAUCAUCUUUUAACAUUUCACCCCGCACGAAAGAGCUAAUUGUAGCUGUGGCAGAUAAAUGCAAAAGGGAAAUAAUUCUGAAUUACUUUGGUUACAAACUAGCAAAUAGGAUUAAACCAGAGCAUACUUGCUGUGAUUUUCAUCAACAGAAAUGUAGCUGUGAUGACUGUGUUUUAAGUUCAGCUGCUGAAAUGUUAGAAAAUGCCAAUUCUAGUGUAUUGGA